This 107-nucleotide small nuclear RNA is filed under the name Dasypus novemcinctus (nine-banded armadillo). The record is from RNAcentral. Lineage: Eukaryota; Metazoa; Chordata; Mammalia; Cingulata; Dasypodidae.
GUGUUUGCUUCAGUAGCACAUAUACUAAAAUUGGAAUGAUACAGAGAAGAUUAGCAUGGUCCCUGCACAAGGAUGACAUGCAAAUAUGUGAAGUAUUCCAUAUUUUU